GACGAACGCUGGCGGCGUGCUUAACACAUGCAAGUCGAACGGAAAGGCCCUGCUUUUGUGGGGUGCUCGAGUGGCGAACGGGUGAUUAACACGUGAGUAACCUGCCCUUGACUUUGGGAUAACUUCAGGAAACUGGGGCUAAUACCGGAUAGGAGCUCCUGCUGCAUGGUGGGGGUUGGCAAGUUUCGGAGGUUGGGGAUGGACUCGCGGCUUAUCAGCUUGUUGGUGGGGUAGUGGCUUACCAAAGCUUUGACGGGUAGCCGGCCUGAGAGAGUGACCGGACACAUUGGGACUGAGAGACGGCCCAGACUCCUACGGGGGACAGAAGAGGGGAAUAUUGCACGAUGGGGGGAAGCCUGAUGCAGCAAAGCCGCGUGCGGGAUGACGGGCUUCGGGUUGUAAACCGCUUUCGCCUGUGACGAAGCGUGAGUGACGGUACUGGGUAAAGAAGCACCGGCUAACUACGUG
Molecule: ribosomal RNA, 468 nt
Filed under: uncultured bacterium
Lineage: Bacteria
Description: partial 16S ribosomal RNA
Rfam family: Bacterial small subunit ribosomal RNA
Source: RNAcentral